RNAcentral lists this transfer RNA (86 nucleotides) under bacterium. Its description in RNAcentral is "tRNA-Leu". It matches the Rfam family "tRNA". From Rfam's summary of the family: Transfer RNA (tRNA) molecules are approximately 80 nucleotides in length. Their secondary structure includes four short double-helical elements and three loops (D, anti-codon, and T loops). The record is from RNAcentral.
GCCGGGAUGGCGGAAUAGGUAGACGCAAGGGACUUAAAAUCCCCCGUCCAUUUAUGGACGUGCCGGUUCGAUUCCGGCUCCCGGUA